AAAUAUUUUGUUCCUAAAAUAAUUUCUUAUCUCUUAGAAAAAUUUAAUUCUCUAAGACUGCGUUUGGUUCGAAUAUAAGUAAAAACUGCUAGUUCAAGGGAUAGGUACAAGUUAGGUAUAAGAAGGAACUAGACCAAUUUUGCGUUUGGAUUAAAAUUUGGUUGUUCCUAAGAAUAAAAUAAAUAGUGUUUGGUUGGUUAGAUUGGAACAAGAGGAAUAAUUGAAAUUAAAAUUAUAUUAUUUAAUUAAUUAACAUCAAAAUAAUAUUUAAAAAUAAAUAAUAAAUUAAUUAUUAAUAAUUAAUUAUAAAUAAUAUUAAUUAUUAGUAAUUAUUAUAAAUAAUUAAUUAAUAAUAUCAAUUAUCUAAUUAAUAAUAAUAAUAAUAAUUAUUAUUAUUAAUUAUUAAUAAAUAAUAAUAAUUAUUAAUUAUUCUUAUUAAUUAAUUAUAAAUAAUAAAUUAAUAAUUAUAUUGAUUAUCUAAUUAUUAAUAAUAAUUAAUAUUAAUAUUUAUUAAUAAAUAAUAAUAAUAAUUAUUAUUUAAUUAUAAAUAAUAAAUUAAUAAUAAUAUCCAUUAUCUAAUUAUUAAGAAUAAGAAUUAUUAAUUAAUUAUUAAUAA
This 616-nucleotide long non-coding RNA is filed under the name Ananas comosus (pineapple). Its description in RNAcentral is "long non-coding RNA (ACOM_LNC024498)". The record is from RNAcentral. Lineage: Eukaryota; Viridiplantae; Streptophyta; Magnoliopsida; Poales; Bromeliaceae.